UGUAGCGGUGGAAUGCGUAGAUAUCGGGAGGAACACCAGUGGCGAAGGCGGCCUACUGGGCAUCAACUGACGCUGAGGCUCGAAAGCAUGGGUAGCAAACAGGAUUAGAUACCCUGGUAGUCCAUGCUGUAAACGAUGAUUACUAGGUGUGGGAAGAUUGACCCUUUCCGUGCCGCAGUUAACACAAUAAGUAAUCCACCUGGGGAGUACGACCGCAAGGUUGAAACUCAAAGGAAUUGACGGGGGCCCGCACAAGCAGUGGAGUAUGUGGUUUAAUUCGAAGCAACGCGAAGAACCUUACCAGGUCUUGACAUCCAACGACCGCCUAAGAGAUUAGGCUUUCCUUCGGGACGUUGAGACAGGUGGUGCAUGGUUGUCGUCAGCUCGUGUCGUGAGAUGUUGGGUUAAGUCCCGCAACGAGCGCAACCCUUAUUACUAGUUACUACGCAAGAGGACUCUAGUGAGACUGCCGUUGACAAAACGGAGGAAGGUGGGGAUGACGUCAAAUCAUCAUGCCCUUUAUGACCUGGGCUACACACGUACUACAAUGGCUAUUAACAGAGAGAAGCGAGACCGCAAGGUGGAGCAAACCUCAGAAAAAUAGUCUCAGUCCGGAUUGGGGGCUGCAACCCGCCCCCAUGAAGCCGGAAUUGCUAGUAAUCGCGGAUCAGCAUGCCGCGGUGAAUACGUUCCCGGGCCUUGUACACACCGCCCGUCACACCAUGAGAGCCGGGGGGACCCGAAGUCGGUAGUCUAACCGCAAGGAGGACGCCGCCGAAGGUAAAACUGGUGAUUGGGGUGAAGUCGUAACAAGGUAACCGUAAAGGGCGAAUUCGGAGCCUGC
This 844-nucleotide ribosomal RNA is filed under the name uncultured Anaerofilum sp. RNAcentral's name for it is "bacterial SSU rRNA". It matches the Rfam family "Bacterial small subunit ribosomal RNA", at positions 674 to 1533 of the family's 1533-position model. Lineage: Bacteria; Bacillati; Bacillota; Clostridia; Eubacteriales; Oscillospiraceae. The record is from RNAcentral.